GAUGAACGCUGGCGGCGUGCCUAAUACAUGCAAGUCGAGCGAACGGACGAGAAGCUUGCUUCUCUGCUGUUAGCGGCGGACGGGUGAGUAACACGUGGAUAACCUACCUAUAAGACUGGGAUAACUUCGGGAAACCGGAGCUAAUACCGGAUAAUAUUUUGAACCGCAUGGUUCAAAAGUGAAAGACGGUCUUGCUGUCACUUAUAGAUGUAUCCGCGCUGCAUUAGCUAGUUGGUAAGGUAACGGCUUACCAAGGCAACGAUGCAUAGCCGACCUGAGAGAGGGAUCGGCAACACUGAACCGGAGACACGGCCAAGACUCCAAGGGGAGGCAGAGGUGGGAAAUCUUCCGAAAGGGGCGAAAGCCUGACGGAGCAACGCGGCGGGAGUGAUGAAGGUCUUCGGAUCGUAAAACUCUGUUAUUGGGGAAGAACACAGGUGUAAGUAACCGUGCACAUCUUGACGGUACCUAAGCAGAAAGCCACGGCUAACUACGU
Molecule: ribosomal RNA, 496 nt
Filed under: uncultured bacterium
Lineage: Bacteria
Description: partial 16S ribosomal RNA
Rfam family: Bacterial small subunit ribosomal RNA
Source: RNAcentral